This 253-nucleotide ribosomal RNA is filed under the name uncultured bacterium. Its description in RNAcentral is "partial 16S ribosomal RNA". It matches the Rfam family "Bacterial small subunit ribosomal RNA", at positions 524 to 776 of the family's 1533-position model. The record is from RNAcentral.
UACGUAGGGGGCAAGUGUUGUCCGGAAUUAUUGGGCGUAAAGAGCGCGUAGGCGGUCCGAUAAGUCGGCUGUGAAAGUCAGGGGCUCAACCCUUGGAAGCCGGCCGAUACUGUCGGACUAGAGUCCGGAAGAGGCGAGUGGAAUUCCCGGUGUAGCGGUGAAAUGCGCAGAUAUCGGGAGGAACACCAAUGGCGAAGGCAGCUCGCUGGGACGGUACUGACGCUGAGGCGCGAAAGCGUGGGGAGCAAACAGG